ACAUAGUCUAAACAUGGUGGUCAUGAUCCCGACCUCGAUCCUGGUCUCUCUCGCUUGGUGGCUGGACCGCAAGGCGGUUUGCGCAGGAGUGCCAUUCCACGCCCCUCAACCCUCCCUGCACCUGGUCACGGACGCCUCAUCUCUAGGUUGGGGCGCUCACCUUGGAGAGCACCAUACCCAGGGAAUGUGGACCGCACCCCAACUAGCCCUGCACAUCAAUGUUCGAGAGCUGAUGGCGGUGCGCCUGGCCUGUCAGGCUUUUCUCAGUCUCCUACAGGGCCGUUGCGUGUUAGUCCUCACCGACAACACCACGACCAUGUUUUACAUCAACAAGCAAGGAGUAGCCCGGUCGUCGCUUCUAUGCCAAGAGGGCAUUCGCCUGUGGGAAUUCUGCAUCGCCCAUUCAAUACAUCUCACGGCAUCGUUCCUUCCUGGAGUCCAGAACACGCUAGCGGACUGUCUCAGCAGGUCUUUCCAGACGCACGAGUGGUCGAUUCGCCCGGACAUCAUCUAUUCCGUCUUCCAGAGGUGGGGAUUUCCCCAGGUCGACCUGUUCACAUCUCGAGCCAACAGGAAGUGCCACGCGUUCUGCUCCCUGCAAGGGCGUUCUCUGGGCUCUCUGUCGGAUGCGUUCCUUCUAAUCUGGAAGGACCACCUGUUCUACGUUUUCCCUCCAUUUCCACUGGUCCACAGGGUACUGCUCAAGCUACGCAGAGACCAGGCACGGGUGAUUCUAGUCGCUCCGGCUUGGCCAAGGCAGCACUGGUACACCACGCUUCUGGAGCUGUCGGUUCAAACACUGAUCACGCUUCCCCUGUGCCCAGAUCUGAUUUCUCAGGACCACGGCCAACUAUGUCACCCCGACCUACAAUCGCUCCACAUCACAGCGUGGAUGCUCCAUGGCUGAAUCGAACAGUGCAAUGCUCGCACUCUGUCCAACAGAUUCUGCUGGGAAGUAGAAAGCCCUCUACACAGUCCACUUACUUAGCCAAGUGGAAGCGUUUCUCCUGUUGGUGCGAGCAACGAGCCACGCCCCCCUUGCAGGCGCCUAUUCCUCUUAUUCUUGAAUAUCUCCUAUCCCUAAAACAGCAGGGCUUGGCGAUAUCUUCGGUCAGGGUUCACCUGGCCGCUAUCUCGGCGUUCCACCCAGGAGAGCUCGCUUCCUCGGUCUUCUCGAACCCGAUGGUCGUUAGAUUCCUCAAGGGCUUAGACCGACUGUACCCACAGCAACGCCAGCCCGUUCCGACGUGGGAUCUCAACCUGGUUCUCUCCAAGCUCACAGGGCCUCCGUUCGAGCCAUUGGCCACCUGUUCACUCCUGUA
RNAcentral lists this long non-coding RNA (1322 nucleotides) under Chrysemys picta bellii (western painted turtle). RNAcentral's name for it is "lncRNA (ENSCPBG00000011896.1)". The record is from RNAcentral. Lineage: Eukaryota; Metazoa; Chordata; Testudines; Emydidae.